This 76-nucleotide transfer RNA is filed under the name Parcubacteria group bacterium CG_4_10_14_0_8_um_filter_35_7. Its description in RNAcentral is "tRNA-Ala". It matches the Rfam family "tRNA". From Rfam's summary of the family: Transfer RNA (tRNA) molecules are approximately 80 nucleotides in length. Their secondary structure includes four short double-helical elements and three loops (D, anti-codon, and T loops). Further hydrogen bonds mediate the characteristic L-shaped molecular structure. tRNAs have two regions of fundamental functional importance: the anti-codon, which is responsible for specific mRNA codon recognition, and the 3' end, to which the tRNAs corresponding amino acid is attached (by aminoacyl-tRNA synthetases). tRNAs cope with the degeneracy of the genetic code in two manners: having more than one tRNA (with a specific anti-codon) for a particular amino acid; and 'wobble' base-pairing, i.e. permitting non-standard base-pairing at the 3rd anti-codon position. RNAcentral also lists the same sequence under 1 other name. The record is from RNAcentral.
GGGCCCGUGGCUUAGUUGGUAAAGCGCCUCCAUGGCAUGGAGGAGAUCAGGAGUUCGAGUCUCCUCGGGUCCACCA